RNAcentral lists this transfer RNA (67 nucleotides) under Antodynerus aff. limbatus GX. RNAcentral's name for it is "tRNA-Tyr". RNAcentral also lists the same sequence under 2 other names. The record is from RNAcentral. Lineage: Eukaryota; Metazoa; Arthropoda; Insecta; Hymenoptera; Vespidae.
AAUACUAUGGCUGAAAUUAGAGGCGGUAAAUUGUAAAUUUAUUAAUGAAAUAUUUUUUCUAGUAUUA